GAAGAAGAAAGAAAGACUGGGGCUCCUUGGAGUGGGAGUGGAGCCAAUGUGACAGCAUGUGACAGAGAUCUAAGUGCAGAUCUGGUGAGAGCCAAGGGGCUCAGAGCCGAGUCCAAGGCGAGUUACUGUGUCUGCUCACGGUGCAGACUGGGCAGUGAGUGACACUCCCCAUGCUGUAGCAGUGUCCUCAGCCAGUGAUCGACCUUCACCUUUAGCCCCUGCCAAGAGGCUGGGGGACUACUGGCUGGAGCCACCGAGAGUGAAGGCCCAGUGAAGCACUUGGGGAUGCUUGACCUUCUGUUGCUCUACUUUGUUUCCACUGUCCUCAGAGAAGACACUGUGCUUGAUGUCUGUUCUUUGAAAGUUACUGAGAGUAAUUCAGUGGCCCUGCAUAUGGCCUAUCACCGUGAAGGGCACAUGCACUUGAAAAGACCAUGUCUGUAGGGCCUGGGGCAGAGUGUUCCCUAAAUAUCCAUUGUGAAAAGUCCUCAGCUCAGGGUAGUUGCUGUUCAAGAAAAUCUCGUUCUUUCAUUUUUUUGCCUUGAUAUCCAAAUAAACCCAUAAGCAGGAGGAGAUUUUCAUUUUUGCACAGACGAGCAGUUUCUGAGGAC
This 611-nucleotide long non-coding RNA is filed under the name Marmota monax (woodchuck). The record is from RNAcentral. Lineage: Eukaryota; Metazoa; Chordata; Mammalia; Rodentia; Sciuridae.